This 781-nucleotide ribosomal RNA is filed under the name uncultured bacterium. Its description in RNAcentral is "bacterial SSU rRNA". It matches the Rfam family "Bacterial small subunit ribosomal RNA", at positions 563 to 1340 of the family's 1533-position model. The record is from RNAcentral.
AAGCGUGCGCAGGCGGUUAUAUAAGUCAGAUGUGAAAUCCCCGGGCUCAACCUGGGAACUGCAUUUGAGACUGUAUAGCUAGAGUACGGUAGAGGGGGAUGGAACUCCGCGUGUAGCAGUGAAAUGCGUAGAUAUGCGGAGGAACACCGAUGGCGAAGGCAAUCCCCUGGACCUGUACUGACGCUCAUGCACGAAAGCGUGGGGAGCAAACAGGAUUAGAUACCCUGGUAGUCCACGCCCUAAACGAUGUCAAGCUGGUUGUUGGGUCUUAACUGACUCAGUAACGAAGCUAACGCGUGCAGCUGCCCGCCCGCGGAGUACGGCUGCAACGCUGAAACUCAAAGGCAUUGCCGGGGACCCGCACAAGCCGGUGGACUGAUCUGGCUUAAUUCGAUGCAACGCGAAAAACCUUACCCACCUUUGACAUGUACGGAAGGAUCCAGAGAUGGAUUUGUGCUCGAAAGAGAACCGUAACACAGGUGCUGCAUGGCUGUUGUCAGCUCGUGUCGUGAGAUGUUGGGUUAAGUCCCGCAACGAGCGCAACCCUUGUCAUUAGUUGCUACAUUUAGUUGGGCACUCUAAUGAGACUGCCGGUGACAAACCCGGAGGAAGCGUGGGGAUGACGUCAAGUCUUCAUGGCCCUUAUAGGUGGGGCUACACACGUCAUACAAUGGCUGGUACAAAGGGUUGCCAACCCGCGAGGGGGAGCUAAUCCCAUAAAACCAGUCGUAGUCCGGAUCGCAGUCUGCAACUCGACUGCGUGAAGUCGGAAUCGCUAGUA